Molecule: long non-coding RNA, 678 nt
Filed under: Malus domestica (apple)
Lineage: Eukaryota; Viridiplantae; Streptophyta; Magnoliopsida; Rosales; Rosaceae
Description: long non-coding RNA (MDOM_LNC009091)
Source: RNAcentral
AUUUACGUUGUUCCAAGACCUUCCGGUUUUGUGCAUCAACAUUUGAAAUAUGUAAUAAGUGAGGAGCUUUUAUUCUAUAAAAGGACUUCUCACUCUCCUCAUUAAGAGAGGUGAAGGUUUAGGCUAUGGGGAGAGAAUAGGCUAGAGAGCAUACUGCCUCUAGCCUUCUUGUAUAUUCACCAUUCAGAGUGAAACAAUAUCAACAUCAGUGUGGACGUAGUCCAAACAUUAGGGUGAAUCACGAUACAUCUUGUGUUCUUUACUUUCUUGCAGAUUCACGAUCGGAUUUACGUUGUUCCAAGACCUUCCGGUUUUGUUCAUCAACACAGCUCUUGGUGGUAAUUGGAUCAUUUGUUUGGAAAGGAAUAGGACAUUAGAGGAUUAUAAAGGUGUAGUGUGGAAGAACUAUGGGGUACAGUUUGUGCUCCGAGUUGCCUAUCAGUCUCUAGAUACGAAAGAGGUUAUUUUUCUUAACAACAAUUUUGUUUAAUGUUGGUUGAACUAACCAAACCGGUUUUGGGGGUUAGUUAAGGAAACUAUACUUAGGGGUGAAAUGAAGUGGCCAGUUGUUCUAGUUCCUGGACAAUAUAUUUGUGUCGAUCCAGUCUGGUUUUAAUAAAUAAGCAAUGGCAUUUGGUGUAAGUUAGUGAAAACUUAAAUUAUUCUUUGGUGUGAAAU